RNAcentral lists this ribosomal RNA (250 nucleotides) under uncultured bacterium. Its description in RNAcentral is "partial 16S ribosomal RNA". It matches the Rfam family "Bacterial small subunit ribosomal RNA", at positions 524 to 772 of the family's 1533-position model. The record is from RNAcentral.
UACGUAGGGGGCGAGCGUUGUCCGGAUUUAUUGGGCGUAAAGAGCUCGUAGGCGGUUUCGUAAGUCGGGUGUGAAAACUCCAGGCUCAACCUGGAGACGCCACCCGAUACUGCGAUGACUAGAGUCCGGUAGGGGAGUGUGGAAUUCCUGGCGUAGCGGUGAAAUGCGCAGAUAUCAGGAGGAACACCAACGGCGAAGGCAGCACUCUGGGCCGGAACUGACGCUGAGGCGCGAAAGCGUGGGGAGCAAA